Molecule: transfer RNA, 77 nt
Filed under: Nitrospirota bacterium
Lineage: Bacteria; Pseudomonadati; Nitrospirota
Description: Nitrospirae bacterium (sediment metagenome) tRNA-Arg
Rfam family: tRNA
About the family: Transfer RNA (tRNA) molecules are approximately 80 nucleotides in length. Their secondary structure includes four short double-helical elements and three loops (D, anti-codon, and T loops).
Source: RNAcentral
GCCCCUGUAGCUCAGAUGGAUAGAGCAGCGGUUUCCUAAACCGUUGGUCGGCUGUUCAAAUCAGCCCAGGGGCACCA